UGGUCAACAGAGGGAAGCAAUACCGCGAGGUGGAGCAAAUCCCUAAAAGCCAUCCCAGUUCGGAUCGCAGGCUGCAACCCGCCUGCGUGAAGUUGGAAUCGCUAGUAAUCGCGGAUCAGCAUGCCGCGGUGAAUACGUUCCCGGGCCUUGUACACACCGCCCGUCACACCAUGAGAGUCGGGAACACCCGAAGUCCGUAGCCUAACCGCAAGGGGGGCGCGGCCGAAGGUGGGUUCGAUAAUUGGGGUGAAGUCGUAACAAGGUACC
RNAcentral lists this ribosomal RNA (267 nucleotides) under uncultured bacterium. RNAcentral describes it as "partial 16S ribosomal RNA". It matches the Rfam family "Bacterial small subunit ribosomal RNA", at positions 1234 to 1500 of the family's 1533-position model. The record is from RNAcentral.